ACCGCCUUGGUCUUCGAAACAGCAGCUACACUCUUCGUCUUAGGUUUGGGCUUCGCAGCGGCUUUAGUUGUUGCUGUUGUCUUUGCCUUAGGCUUAGCAGCAGCAGCAGGUUUCUUGGCUCCUUUAGCAGCCGGUUUGGCCUUAGCAGGAGCUUUACCCUUCGGUUUAGUAACAGCAGCAGCUGGUUUCUUGUUAACCGGUUUAGUCGUAGCCGCCGGUUUAGCCGCAGACGGAAUCUUGAAAGAGGCUUUGACUUUGACUAGCUUCCCGGAAGCGACGAGUCUCCUGAGAUUGACGAGGAGAAGCUUCCUGAAAGUUGGAGGAAGC
RNAcentral lists this long non-coding RNA (327 nucleotides) under Brassica rapa (field mustard). RNAcentral's name for it is "long non-coding RNA (BRAP_LNC003388)". The record is from RNAcentral. Lineage: Eukaryota; Viridiplantae; Streptophyta; Magnoliopsida; Brassicales; Brassicaceae.